This is a long non-coding RNA of Ostrinia nubilalis (European corn borer), 1793 nucleotides long. RefSeq lists it as uncharacterized. The record is from RefSeq and is a predicted model, not a curated record. The transcript has 2 exons. NCBI's taxonomy places the organism in Eukaryota, Metazoa, Arthropoda, Insecta, Lepidoptera, Crambidae.
GAUAAGGCUAUAGGGCGAUAUGAAGAAGCGUCAGAUAGGGGUUUAUUCGGUUUACACACUGGCAACACUACUUGUGUUUUCCAUUCUGACGGGAGAGUUCCUGUGUUUACAAAUGAAUUGAUGAGCUGUAAAUAAUAACCUAAAAUGUUGUCACUGAGAUGAGUAAAGAAAGAAUAUGGUAUUCCGUCGGCCCCAGGGGCGGAAUCUUUAGUAUUAGAUACAACUCCUUUUAAUUCAUAUAGGGAAAAGUCUGAAUCCAAUGCCAUGUUACUUACUGUGUGUGAGGAAGCAUCAUCGCUGACUAUGUUAUGUGGUACCCAAGGGGGAGCUAAUUUGGUUAAAAAGUCAUGAGCUAAAGUUUCUGGUAUUGAUGGACUAGAAAUAUCACUAAACACAGAUUUAAAUCUUCUAAUACUACGCCAAACUAUAGAGGAAGGAGUGUUGGGGGAUAUAGAAAGACAGAAGUUUUUCCAACUCUCAGAUUUCUUUUUUUUCAAUAAUUUAGAGGUUUCUUUAUUUACAGACAUAACUAAAUCAAAAUUCUCUGAAGUCAUAUUAUGUUUAUAUUGUUUUUCAAUCUCUUUUCUGCGUUUAAUUGCUUCUGUACAUUCUGAAUCCCACCAAGGGGGUGAAGGAAUUUUGUUAGAUAAAUUUCCCUUUAGAGGGAAAACUUCAUUUGCUGCUUCGAUCAGAACAUUUGCAAGAGCAUUGGCACAAUCUAGUUGGUUAUCAGAUGAUAUAUUUGGGAGUGAAGAUAUUUUACUUUCUACACAAUUUUUAAAAGUUAGCCAAGUGUCACUAGUACUGUCUGGUAACCUAUGUUUUAAUUGAGAUGAAUGUUUCAGUGCUUUAGGUUUAUUAUAUGGAAAAGAAAUUAAAAUAGGGAAAUGGUCACUUCCAUAUGAGGACGGCAGGGUGCACCAGGUUAAGGAAGAGGCCAAACUUGGUGUACAAAUGGAGAGGUCAACUGCACUAACAUUUUGAUUUGGUGCUGUGAGGCGUGUGGGAGAGCCAGUAUUUAAAGUACAAAGGUUAUUACUGUCAAUUAUAUCAAGAAGUGCUUCACCAUAAUUGUUUGACACUGUACUACCCCAUGUCUGAUGGUGAGAGUUGAAAUCCCCUAAUAAUAAAAAUGGUCUUGGUAAGGAAGAGAUGAUCUGAUCAAUUUCAUUAAUAAUAGACAAAGAGGGAUGUGGAAUAUAUACAGAGGCUAUACAUAUAUUACAUACACUUACAGCUAAAAUAGAAAAAUCUUCACUAUGUACAGGUAAAUUUACAGGAGAGAAUGGGACGGAGUUCCUGAUGAAAAUAGCCACUCCACCAUAUCCAUCAGGUCUGUCUUCUCUAAGGCAAUGGGCUGGCAGAAACAACAUCCGCAAAGGAUUUGGAGGCAGGUGGAUGUAGCUUUGAGGCUUCCGCGUAUGAAACACAAUUAUGGGCCAUAUAAUGUUUUAUUUGCUUCUGGCGAGCCAGCUCUGGACAAGCUUUGCUGGUGGCUAAAUGGGACCCGGAACAUAAGCAGCAAAAAGCGUUAUCUUCCUCCACCAUACAGGAGUCACCAGUGUGAUCAUGACCACACUUGUAACAGCGUGGUUUCGACCGACACUGUACCUUUGUGUGGCCAAAGCGGCAACAGUUGUAACACUGUAUGGUAGGGAAGAUAUAUAGUUCCACUGGAAGUGCAUUAUAGCAAAUAAAAAUACGCUUCGGCAAGACCUGGCCAUCGAAAGUGAUCACAGCAGAUUGUGACGGUUUCCAUACUGGUGUACCAUUAAUAAAGGUUUUAUAAUUGA